RNAcentral lists this microRNA precursor (181 nucleotides) under Oryza brachyantha (malo sina). RNAcentral describes it as "MIR812 microRNA precursor family". It matches the Rfam family "MIR812 microRNA precursor family". Lineage: Eukaryota; Viridiplantae; Streptophyta; Magnoliopsida; Poales; Poaceae. The record is from Rfam by way of RNAcentral.
AAUAACUCUAUUUUUCAGUUUUUUGAUAUAAUGUUUUGACUCUUUGUCUUAUUUAAAAAAAUUGCGAUUAAUAUUUUUAUUGUUAAAUAUGAAUAGUACUUUAUGCGUGACUAAUUUUGUAAAGUUUUUAUAUAAAAUUUUUAAAUAAGACGAAUGGUCAAAUAUUAAACAAGGAAAAACA